GUCUCUAGAGAAUGGAAUGAAAAAGGGGAAAAAAUCAGAGAGAUACAUACACAAUAUAACAAGUUGCUUUAUUCAAGUGGUCGAUGCAGCACGUAUAGCUUGACAGAUGUCAAGACAAAGUAAACCUAUAGCUGACCAAGUGGAAGAACGUGGUAUCCCGCGUGUUACAUUUAAAUGAUUGAUGAGGAUUCUCGAUGUGGAUCGCAGCUGGAUUGCGGGCUGCAUCUUCUGGAAGAGUUGGAAUGAACGUGAGAAGACUUUUUUAAGCUGAACCAUUCUGUUGAAUCCGUAAUUUGGAUAUCUGUGCAUCGGCAGUCGGAAUGCCAGGAUUCCUAAAUUGCAGUGUGAAUAUAGAGAUUCUUUAGAAAUAGUCGACCAGCCUUGGGUUUCAUCCGCGCUUUCAUUUUCAAUCCUACCGACGUAUUUUGGCUCAGUAUAUCAAUCCAACAUCACCUCUGUCAUGUGUUGCUCCAAGACUUGUUGGAAAUCUGGGAAUAGGCAUGGCUGCCGUAGGGAUUAUUUGCCGACAAAGCAGUUUCUUUCUGUACUCAUCCCUUCGAGAAAUAACCAGUGGUGGAAUUUUAGCUCACAGCAAGAAACAUUUUAAGAAAUCCAUUGGAAUAUGUGGCAAGUUGUCAUCCGUUGAAUAAUCCAAGAGAUCUAGUAUUCUUAACUUGAGUCAAGAUCGGUAAAUUUUUGAAAUUAAUAUCUUUGCUAACACAUUUCAAACACUCUUGAAACUUACAUCAAACUCAAGCGAGCAAAGUACACAUAUUUAAAGUUCCAGGGAGAGAAUUUCAUCUUGGAGAAUCUGUCAAAGCCCACGACUGUGAGCUAGUGGAACAAAAACAUAAGAUUUUUGCCAUAAAUCAACGCUAUUUACGAAAUCAUCUGAAUUUACUGAGCAAAGGCUUGCGUAGGAAGAGCAAAAAAUAGAUGAAAGAGACCAAAGAAGAUGAUGAAGAAGAAAAGUGAUGUGGAUGACACAGGAAUAAGGGAUUCUCUUGGCCUCAGGAAAAAAGUAGUAUGUUUUGGGCUGUGGGCCACAAUUUGAACUGAAGCAAUAUUUUACGAAUUCAGUGAGUUAUGGCAAAGCGAGGGCUGACGCAAAAUGAUUUAGGUUUAAUAACGAUGGACCGUACAAGCCAGGUCAGUUGGGCAUUAUGUUGGAAGCAGUGUUGGCUGGUGCCUCUUGAUGUUUAAAGACGGUUCAGUCGAGUAGAGUUGAAGAAAUCUUCAAAUGCUCAAGAGUGAAAGAGUCAGAGUAAAAUAUACCGAUAGGAAUAAUGAGAUAAUCGGUCAGAUGAUUAUAUUUUUUGUUGAUUAAAAUUAAUUUAAAUUAUACUCAUAUAGGUAAAGAGCAUAACAUUUUUUGUGAAACCCUUAUUAUACAUAAUAUGCAUGUUUUGCAGACAUUUUUUAUUAUAUUCCACUGUCGUGUAUAGUCCAUUACCAUUGCAUGGAUCCCCACUGACAUUUUCAGGUAGUUUCAAAUCCUGUGAAACCGGCUUACUGGUAACUAGUGACAAUUUUGUGUUGCACCGUAUAAAAACGCUGCGGGUAAUCAAAAGCUCGUUAACAUGAUUUAUUAAUCCCAAUCGAGUUUGCUUGCGUGCAGUUAGAAAAAGUAACUCAAGUAAUUAUUUAUAAGAGUCACCGUGUAUGCUCUAUGGUUGAUAUAAUAGUAGUUGGAUUCGUAGUAUAAAGCUUUAUUUUUGUAAUCCUCUGACGACGAAUAUGAAAUUUUACCGUCAAUUAAAUGUGCCAUACGUUGAAUUGUCACUAUACGUUCGUUUUAAUUUCAAAUGUGCAAUUCGCGAUUAUUAAAUUUUUUUUCGCACUCCUGAAGGCAUAUCAGUGGAAAAUUUGGCAUUGAUCCACUGUUAUAUGCAAAGUAAAGGGAUAUGCAUGGACCAAUAUAUAAUAUCAAAGUGAGCUGAACUUUAAACAAAAAAAUUGUGUAUCAAUAUGAGUGCACUGGCUUUUGUCACAUCAAUACAUGUCUGUUAUA
Molecule: long non-coding RNA, 2011 nt
Filed under: Chelonus insularis
Lineage: Eukaryota; Metazoa; Arthropoda; Insecta; Hymenoptera; Braconidae
Description: uncharacterized LOC118064907, transcript variant X1
Source: RNAcentral